AACUUGACGUUUCACCUUGCUCCACAUUGUCCCAAACGUGUGACCAGAAGCCAACGUGAACUCAAGUCAAAUGUGGCUUCUUUUCAGAAGACACAUUCCAGCUCUGAGUACUCUUUGAAACUUAGUCCCAAUACUAAAAUGUCCAUGAAAGGGCUUCCUUUUUUGAGGCAGACGAUGAUCUGGGCCGCCGCACAAUAGUGGCGCCUGCUGUCCAGGACUACUUCAUGGUUUCUGGGGGGGGGGGUUUGCCCUGAGGUUUCGGCACCCUCUGGGAGUAAGGCCGUUAUCGUCCCGAGUCGGAUACCUGCUAUCGGUACUCGCACGUUCCUACCUGGAAUCGAUCGGUAAGGCGAGCAAGUCGGCUAGCCGGCCGGCAGGCAGGCAGGCCGGUGCUUUGAGGCGGAGGGACAGAAAACAAGACAAAGCAGAAGAACGAGCACGGCAGCUGCUGUCUCAACAACAGUAAGCGUCUCACGGUGACAGCCGGGACCAUGAGACCGGUCCGUCCCCGGCGCAAGGGUUGCCCUCAUUUUUCUUAUUCUGCGGUGCUCUCCGAACCUGCCGGGACACGCAGACGUGUUUUCAAAGCGGAUCCGGACAAGUCGGGGACAGGCCCGUCCCGUGCCGUGCCGUGCUGUGCCGUGUGUUGUUGCGUUGAUGGACGUGAUAGUGAAACUUUCUCGAGGCUUGGCUUGAUGCAUGCUGGCCAUCAACUGUUGAAAAUAACACUCUGGGAGAAAAUUGCACGCUUGGGCUAUAAACGCUGGCCACGACUGUGAGUCACACCAGGCUCACACUGUCUUUGUGUGUGUUACGGUGGCUUGAUGCGUGUGUGUGUGUGUGUGUCUGUGUGUGUGUGUGUGUGUGCGGACGCAGGCAGGGGCGCUGUGUGCUGCAGCCUGUUUUUCUUCUCAGGUAUGCGUUCCCUCAGGGGACGUGCAGCGGCAAAGCGCGUCGCCAAUUGGCAAGAAAUAUGAGCCUCGCCUUUCGGCAUCUGGCCGGCAAAACCACCAGUGAUGGGAGGGAGGGCUGGCUCUCCCUGGCAAAGGUGUGAUGGGGAGGCGGCACGGCCACCUCCCCAUUCCACAUCCGAUUCGGCGGUGUGACAUCUCGCGCUUGACACAUUUUCCGAGUAAAGAUUUCAAAGUGGCGUAAACGGAGGCCCAACAGCCCGGGGCCGCCACGUGACUGUCUUUCUAAAUGUUUGUAGGCCGGGGGCUGGUUCUGGUGAACAGGCAAGACAACAGAAUGGUUUGAGAGCGACAUACGCUCGGAUGUCAAGAGUCUGUUUGGCUUUUUCCAGACGUUGCCAAUAUUGAGCGGUGCGCGCAGGAAUGCUUCGUUUCGUUUGCGUGGCACUCCCUCGGCCACAUG
Long non-coding RNA from Syngnathus acus (greater pipefish), 1374 nucleotides. RefSeq lists it as uncharacterized. The transcript is spliced from 2 exons. NCBI's taxonomy places the organism in Eukaryota, Metazoa, Chordata, Actinopteri, Syngnathiformes, Syngnathidae. The record is from RefSeq and is a predicted model, not a curated record.